Molecule: transfer RNA, 67 nt
Filed under: Gekko auriverrucosus
Lineage: Eukaryota; Metazoa; Chordata; Lepidosauria; Squamata; Gekkonidae
Description: tRNA-Trp
Source: RNAcentral
AGAAAUUUAGGUUACCAUUAAACCAAAGGCCUUCAAAGCCUUAAACGGGACACUAUCCCAAUUUCUG